GAUCAUGGCUCAGGACGAACGCUGGCGGCGUGCCUAACACAUGCAAGUCGAACGGAAGUUAGAGCUUCGGUUUUAACUUUAGUGGCGAACGGGUGAGUAACGCGUGAGGAACCUGCCUUUCAGUGGGGGACAACAGUUGGAAACGACUGCUAAUACCGCAUGACACUUUUGGGAGACAUCUCCUGGAAGUCAAAGCUUUAUGUGCUGAAAGAUGGCCUCGCGUCUGAUUAGCUGGUUGGUGAGGUAACCGG
Molecule: ribosomal RNA, 251 nt
Filed under: uncultured bacterium
Lineage: Bacteria
Description: partial 16S ribosomal RNA
Rfam family: Bacterial small subunit ribosomal RNA
Source: RNAcentral